This is a long non-coding RNA of Neodiprion fabricii, 1159 nucleotides long. RefSeq lists it as uncharacterized. The record is from RefSeq and is a predicted model, not a curated record. NCBI's taxonomy places the organism in Eukaryota, Metazoa, Arthropoda, Insecta, Hymenoptera, Diprionidae. The transcript is spliced from 2 exons.
UCAUUAUAUGACCCCUUGAUAUGACCUGCAGCGAAUGAAGGACAGAUUUAUGUUUACAAUCUCGUUCUGUCAAGCGGCAUUGACAUUCAAGGUUAUGUUUCCGUCUCCGGCAAUCAAUUCUUCUCAAUCCUUCUGGUCAUGGAAGAAGGAUUACAUUUCACCACACUUCUGGUUAAUGGCUUAAGGAGACAAGAGAAAAAGCAUUCGAUACUUUAGAAAUAGCCAAUAUUCGAUUGGCACUGAUUCAUGGAUAGGAUUUUAGAGGAUUUUUUUUUUACAAGUAAGUUUUGUGACUGAGAUGUUAGAUCGUAAAUUUUAUUAGCAUAUAAAUCCAGGGGUGUGUAUACAUUUUAAUUGAAAUUUAGAAAAAGAGUACAACUAGGGUAAAUUUUCAUACAAAUAUUUGAGUCUGUAUUAGGCAAUUUGGAGAAUUUACAUUUUCAAUCGCACCAAUCAAUAUCAUUAAUAUGUAUGAACUACAUUAUUUUAUGUACACAUAAGUUGGCUACAGAUUUUGAAUUUUGUAAUCCAUUGAGAAGCCAUAUUAGGCAUAGAUAAACGGUCACUGUAUUCUCUGAAUACUUCGUGUAUCCAAGGAACAAUACAACAAUCGUAACAAUGUGAUAAUUACUUACAAUUUCGUAAGAUUAAUAUGACUUUUAUAUAAAUAUUAACAUUUUCAUCGUAGAUUUAAUAAAUUACAAACUGUUCAACAACGACAAAAUUCGAAUCCAAAACAGCAUUAUUUACAUUUAAUCUAACAGAAUUAAUAGUUUGUGAAAAAAUAAAAAAUCCUCAAUCUCGCAUUGACCUACAAUAAAUAUAGGAGAAAAAAAAACAAGAAUGAUUUAACUAAACAGUUGUACAUCCAUGCAUGGAUAGAUUAAUUUUUUGCAGUAUAAGUAAUGUUCAACAUAUCAUUUGUUUCUUACUUUAUUCAUGUCUAGCAUGUAGAAAUCUGAAUUGCUUGUUAAACUCGUAAUGUUUUCUAACCGCACAGUGGUAUUUAAUUUGUUACUACAUACCUAUUGUAAAUUUACCACUUAUCUAAUUCACUGCAGUUGCAAAAUUCACGGGGAAAUGGAGACGUGCAUCAAUUAUCAAGCAGUGAACCAAAUGAAUCGCAAAGCACCGAUCAUGUAGGCAUGUUGCAUAUGAU